CAUCACUGUAGGAGGCAGCCUACCUCCUGGACCUCUCUCUGGGCAGUUGUGCACCUGUAAUCCUGGAUCUCACUCAGAUCAUGGGGUGACAACAGGGAGUGGACAUCUGGAGAGAAAUCUGAGCCUGGUGUUUUGGGUUUGUGGGUGGGAGAUACUCUCAGGACACCCUCCCCCUCCAUGGAUUCAGACUUGGGUGGGCCCAGCAGAAUGGCAUGUGUGGUUCCCAGCUCCUUCAUCCCCAGUGGGAGGGAGCCUAUCAUCCCCUAUGCAUUUCAGAUAUAUGAACCAGGGUCUCAAGUUUACAACCUUGUUCCCUGUUAAAGAGAGAUUGCACUGGAAACUUGUUAAGAAUGUCAAGGAAAAGUUUAUUAGGCACAAUUGCAGUGAGUCAUGAGAGCUGUAAUAGGGGAGGGAGAUUGAACUCAACCUUGAAUGCAGCAGGAAUAUUAUUGGAUUUAUAGCCAAUGGACAGGGUGAGGGAGAGAAUGGAACUUGGUUGGGUCUCAUAGGUGGGGGAAAAAGAACUUGAUUGGAUAUUAAGGUAGGAGGAGUCUCUAUAAACUACCUUAGAUGGAUUCUUGCUGAAACUGACUUCUGCAGGCCAAUGCCAAGGCCUAGUUAAGAAGAGGGCUCUGAGGAGCUUGACUCAAGUUUGGUGAAGGAAGGAAUACUUGAGACCUCUUCAGUCUAGUUUUUCUUUUUUUUGAGAUGGAGUCUUGCUCUGUCGCGAGGCUGGAGUGCAGUGGUGUGAUCACGGCUCACUGCAACCUCUGCCUCCCAGGUUCAAGCAAUUCUCUGCCUCAGCCUCCCAAGUAGCUAGGGUUACAGGUGCCCACCACCAUGGCUGGCUAAUUUUUUUUGUAUUUUUAGUAGAGACAAGGUUUCACCAUCUUGGCCAGGGUGGUCUUGAACUCCUGACCUCGUGAGCCACCGUGCCCAGCCUCUUCAGCCUAGUUUUUCCCAGGGCUCUGUAUUAGUCUGUUUUCAUGCUGCUAAUAAAGACAUACGCAAGACUGGGUAAUUUAUAAAGGAAAGAAAUUUCACUGACAGGUCAGUAUGGCUGGGGAGGCCUCAGGAAACUUACAAUUAUGGUGGAAGGGGAAGCAAACAUGUCCUUCUUCACAUGGCAGCAGCAAGGAGAAGUGCAGAGUAAAGGUGGGGGAAGCCCAUUAUAAAACCAGAUCUCAUGAGAACUCACUAUUAUGAGAACAACAUGGAGGUAACCACCCCAAUGAUUAAAUUAUCUCCUGCUUGCUCCCUCCCAUGACACGCAGGGAUUAUGGGAACUACAAGAGGAGAUUUGGGUGGAGACACAGCCAAACCAUAUCAUUCCACCCCCAGCCCCUCCCAAAUCUCGUAUCCUCACAUUUUAAAACAAUCAUGCCCUCCCAACAGUCCCCCAAAGUAUUAAAUCAUUCCAGCAUUAACUCAAAAGUACAAGUCCAAACUCAUCUGAGACAAGGUAAGUCCCUUCUGCCUAUGAGCCUGUAAAAUCAAAAACAAGAUAGCUACUUCCUAGAUACAGUCAGGGUACAGGCAUUGGGUAAAUAUGCCCUUUCCAAAUGGGAGAAAUUGGCCAAAACAAAGGGGCUAGAGGCCCUAUGCAAGUCCCAAAUCCAGUAGGGCAGUAAUUAAAUCUUAAAGCUUUGACAUAGUCUCCUUGGCUGGGCAUGGUGGCUCACGCCUGUAAUCCCAGCACUUUGGGAGGCCGAGGCGAGCGGAUCACAAGGUCAGGAGAUCAAGAUCAUCCUGGCUAACAUGGUGAAACCCUGUUUCUAUUAAAAAUAUAAAAAAUUAGCCAGGCAUGGUGGCAUGUGCCUGUAAUCCCAGCUAAUUGGGAGGCUGAGGCAGGAGAAUUGCUUGAUCCCAGAAGGCAGAGGUUGCAGUGAGCCGAGAUUGUGCCACUGCACUCCAGUCUGGGUGAUAGAGCCACACUCUGUCUCAAAAAAAAAAAAAAAAAAAAAAAAAAUCUCCUUUGACUCUGUGUCUCACAUCCAGGUCAUGUUGAUGCAAAAGAUGGGCUCCCUCAACCUUGGGCACCUCUGCCCCUGUGGCUUUGCAAGGUACAGCCCCCCCUCCUGGCUGCUUUCACAGCUGACACUGAGUGUCUGUGGCUUUUCCAGGUGCACGGUGCAAGCUGUCAGUGGAUUGACCAUUCUGGGGUCUGGAGGACGGAUGGUGGCCCUCUCCUCACAGCUCUACUAGGCAGUGCCACAGUGGGGACUCUGUGGGGGGGGGGUCCAAUUCCCACAUUUCUCUUCUGCACUGCCCUAGCAGAGGUUCUCCAUGAGGGCUCCGCCCCUGCAGCGCACCUCUGCCUGGACAUCCAGGCGUUUCUAUACAUCCUCUGAAAUCUCAGCAGAGGUUCCCAGACCUCAAUUCUUGUCUUCUGUGCACCCACAGGACCAACACCACAUGGAAGCUGUGGAGGCUUGGGGCUUGCACCCUCCAAAGCCAUGACCCGAAUUGUACCUUGCUUCCUUUUAGCAAUGGCUGGAGUGGCUGGGCACAGGGCACCAAGUCCCUAGGCUGCAUACAGCAAGGGGCCCUGGACCAGGCGCAGGAAACCAACCAUUUUUUCCUUUUAGGAUUCUGGGCCUCUGAUGGGAGGGGCUGCCAUGAAUUUCUCUGAUGUGUCCUGGAGACAUUUUCUCCAUUGUCUUGAGUUUCACUCUUGUUGCCCAGGCUGGAGUGCAAUGGCGCGAUCUUGGCUCACUACAACCUCUGCCUCCCGGGAUCAAGUGAUUCUCCUGCCUCAGCCUCCCAAGUAGCUGGGAUUACAGGCAUGUGUCACCACGGCCAGCUAAUUCUGCAUAUUUGGUAGAGAAGGGGUUUCUCCAUGAAACACCCUGAGCCAUGUUGCUCAGGCUGCUCUCAAACUCCUGACCUUAGGUGAUCCGCCCGCCUCAGCCUCCCAAAGUGCUGGAUUACAGGCAUGAGCCACCACGCCCAGCUGGGUUUUUCUUUUCUGUUCCACUGUCAGGCUGCAAUUUUUCCAAACUUUAAUGUUCUGUCACCUCUUGAAUGCUUUGCCGCUUAGCAGUUUCUUCCACCAGAUACCAUAAGUCAUCUCUCACAAGUUCAAAGUUUCACAGAUCUCUAGGGCAGGGGAAAAAUUCCGCCAGUCUCUUUGCUAAAACAUAACAAGAGUCACCUUUGCUUCCAGUUGCCAACAAGUUUCUUGUCUCCAUCUGAGACCACCUCAGCCUGGACUUUAUUGUCCAUAUCACUACCAGCAUUUUGGUCAGAGCUGUUCAAGAAGUCUCUAGGAAGUUCCAGACUUUCCCACAUCUUCCUGUCUUUUGAGCCCUCCAAGUCUCUAGGACGUUCCAAACUUUCCCACAUUUUCCUGUCUUCUUCUGAGCCCUCCAGACUUUUCCAACCCUUGCCUGUUCCCCAGUUCCAAAGUUGCUUCCACAUUUUCAGGUAUCUUUAUGGCAGAGCACCCCACUACCCAGUACCAAUUUACUAUAUUAGUCCAUUCUCAUACUGCCAAUAAAUACAUACCUGAGACUGGAUAAUUUAUAAAGGAAAGAGGUUUAAUUGACAUACAGUUUAGCAUGGCUGGGAAGGCCUCAGGAAACUUAAUUAUGACGGAAUGGAAAGCAGACCUGUUCUUCACAUGGUGGCAGCAAGGAGAAGUGCAGAACGAAGAGGGGGAAAAGCCACUUAUGAAACCAUCAGAUCUCGUGAGAACUCACUAUCAUGAGAACAGCACGGAGGUAACUGCCCCCAUGAUUAAAUUACCUCCCACCGGGUCCCUCCCACAACAUGUGGGGAUUAUGGGAACUACAAUUUAAGAUGAUAUUUGGGUGGGGCACAGCCAAACCAUACCAGGCUCAAAAUAAGUUCCUAAGUUUCUGGUUUCCCUUGCCACAAUCCCAGAUGUCAACUUCUCCUCUCCAAUUGACAUUAUCUUCAAUUAUGUUUCCCCAUGCUAGAUUUGAUGCAGCUAUAAUAUUUUAGUUGUUUAUAAUUUUCCAUAGAAUAAUAAAUAACAAUUUUAAAGAUU
Molecule: long non-coding RNA, 4012 nt
Organism: Symphalangus syndactylus (siamang)
Lineage: Eukaryota; Metazoa; Chordata; Mammalia; Primates; Hylobatidae
Source: RefSeq, a predicted model, not a curated record